UGGGGAAUUUUGGACAAUGGGCGAAAGCCUGAUCCAGCAAUGCCGCGUGUGUGAAGAAGGCCUUCGGGUUGUAAAGCACUUUUGUCCGGAAAGAAAUCCUUGGCUCUAAUACAGUCGGGGGAUGACGGUACCGGAAGAAUAAGCACCGGCUAACUACGUGCCAGCAGCCGCGGUAAUACGUAGGGUGCAAGCGUUAAUCGGAAUUACUGGGCGUAAAGCGUGCGCAGGCGGUCCGCUAAGACAGAUGUGAAAUCCCCGGGCUUAACCUGGGAACUGCAUUUGUGACUGGCGGGCUAGAGUAUGGCAGAGGGGGGUUAGAAUUCCACGUGUAGCAGUGAAAUGCGUAGAGAUGUGGAGGAAUACCGAUGGCGAAGGCAGCCCCCUGGGCCAAUACUGACGCUCAUGCACGAAAAGCGUGGGGGAGCAAACAGGAUUAGAUACCCUGGUAGUCCACGCCCUAAACGAUGUCAACUAGUUGUCGGGUCUUCAUUGACUUGGUAACGUAGCUAACGCGUGAAGUUGACCGCCUGGGGAGU
This 536-nucleotide ribosomal RNA is filed under the name uncultured bacterium. RNAcentral's name for it is "partial 16S ribosomal RNA". It matches the Rfam family "Bacterial small subunit ribosomal RNA", at positions 355 to 881 of the family's 1533-position model. The record is from RNAcentral.